UGCCAGCUAAGUUUUCCUGUACGCAG
Molecule: non-coding RNA, 26 nt
Filed under: Mus musculus (house mouse)
Lineage: Eukaryota; Metazoa; Chordata; Mammalia; Rodentia; Muridae
Source: RNAcentral